CACGUAGGGCGCAAGCGUUGUCCGGAAUUAUUGGGCGUAAAGAGCUCGUAGGCGGUCUGUUGCGUCCGCUGUGAAAACUCGGGGCUUAACCCCGAGCCUGCAGUGGAUACGGGCAGGCUAGAGGUAGGUAGGGGAGAACGGAAUUCCUGGUGUAGCGGUGAAAUGCGCAGAUAUCAGGAGGAACACCGGUGGCGAAGGCGGUUCUCUGGGCCGAUAUUGACGCUGAGGAGCGAAAGCGUGGGGAGCGAACAGG
This 253-nucleotide ribosomal RNA is filed under the name uncultured bacterium. RNAcentral's name for it is "partial 16S ribosomal RNA". It matches the Rfam family "Bacterial small subunit ribosomal RNA", at positions 524 to 776 of the family's 1533-position model. The record is from RNAcentral.